Molecule: ribosomal RNA, 491 nt
Filed under: uncultured bacterium
Lineage: Bacteria
Description: partial 16S ribosomal RNA
Rfam family: Bacterial small subunit ribosomal RNA
Source: RNAcentral
GUGAACGCUGGCGGUAGGCCUAACACAUGCAAGUCGAACGGCAGCACAGUAAGCGCUUGCUCUUACGGGUGGCGAGUGGCGGACGGGUGAGGAAUACAUCGGAAUCUACUUUUUCGUGGGGGAUAACGUAGGGAAACUUACGCUAAUACCGCAUACGACCUACGGGUGAAAGCAGGGGAUCUUCGGACCUUGCGCGAUUGAAUGAGCCGAUGUCGGAUUAGCUAGUUGGCGGGGUAAAGGCCCACCAAGGCGACGAUCCGUAGCUGGUCUGAGAGGAUGAUCAGCCACACUGGAACUGAGACACGGUCCAGACUCCUACGGGAGGCAGCAGUGGGGAAUAUUGGACAAUGGGCGCAAGCCUGAUCCAGCCAUACCGCGUGGGUGAAGAAGACCUUCGGGUUGUAAAGCCCUUUUGUUGGGAAAGAAAAGCAGCAGGUUAAUACCCCGCUGUUCUGACGGUACCCAAAGAAUAAGCACCGGCUAACUUCGUG